ACUCCCUUCGGGGAGUGCAUAAAGUGGCGCACGGGUGAGUAACACGUAAGUAAUCUACCUUCGAGUGGGGAAUAACCCGGGGAAACCCGAGCUAAUACCGCAUAAUGCGGCGGCAUCGCAAGAUGACAGUUGUUAAAGGAGCAAUCCGCUUGAAGAGGAGCUUGCGGCAGAUUAGCUAGUUGGUAAGGUAAUGGCUUACCAAGGCUACGAUCUGUAUCCGGUCUAAGAGGACGGUCGGACACACUGACACUGAAUAACGGGUCAGACUCCUACGGGAGGCAGCAGUCGGGAAUUUUGGGCAAUGGGCGAAAGCCUGACCCAGCAACGCCGCGUGAAGGAUGAAGUAUUUCGGUAUGUAAACUUCGAAAGAAUGGGAAGAAUAAAUGACGGUACCAUUUAUAAGCUCCGGCUAACUACGUGCCAGCAGCCGCGGUAAUACGUAGGGAGCAAGCGUUG
Molecule: ribosomal RNA, 456 nt
Filed under: uncultured bacterium
Lineage: Bacteria
Description: bacterial SSU rRNA
Rfam family: Bacterial small subunit ribosomal RNA
Source: RNAcentral